Capra hircus (goat) is the source of this 134-nucleotide small nucleolar RNA. The record is from Ensembl. Lineage: Eukaryota; Metazoa; Chordata; Mammalia; Artiodactyla; Bovidae.
UAGCCAGUCAAUGAACCUGCUUACCUGAAUGUGUUUCUGCAGAAACAUGUUUAGAAAAAGCUGGCAAUAAGAAAGCCAUGUUAUGAGACUUUAAGACACCGAAGUCAUUAAGGCCGCUAAAAAUGGCCACAAGA